GAUUGGUUUGAGUGCAGUGGUCUUUGCAAAUAAUUGAUCACAGCCAGGAUUCCUGUUGUAAAUUGUUCCUGUGUUCCUUCUGCACUCUCACUGUUUCACUUGACUCGCUGAA
Molecule: non-coding RNA, 112 nt
Filed under: Microcebus murinus (gray mouse lemur)
Lineage: Eukaryota; Metazoa; Chordata; Mammalia; Primates; Cheirogaleidae
Source: RNAcentral